Xenopus tropicalis (tropical clawed frog) is the source of this 1802-nucleotide long non-coding RNA. RefSeq lists it as uncharacterized. Lineage: Eukaryota; Metazoa; Chordata; Amphibia; Anura; Pipidae. The record is from RefSeq and is a predicted model, not a curated record. The transcript has 4 exons.
UGAGCAGAUUCCCAACAGCGCCACCGCCUGCCUGCAACCGGAACUUACACUGUGGGAGGACUAAUGAGCCAGCCCUGCGCCUAGUUAUAUGGGAGUGGCGCCGCUCAAUAGGCGCUGGUUUGUAUUGUUGUUGCUGAGGUGUGUCCCACAUCUCCGGGUCCCGGACAGCCUUCUAAGAGCUUGAGUGACAAUUACAAAUGAAUAAAAUCUACACAAAAAUACCUCAGAUUCAUGCAUGGUUAUGAGAGAGGGUUCCAAGGCCCACCAGGAGACGCCAUCAGAGCAGCAGUUGGGGGUGUCAAGUGCUUUGGUCACAGGCUUGCAAACUGUAGGACUGUCUCCCUUGAGGAACCCAAAGCAGUUUAUGGCUGGGGAAGGAGAUGAAGGGGAGAUCAUUCUUCAUGUGAGUCAGGUUCUCAGCAAGAUCACUGAGGAAAACAAAACCCACUUGGCCAACAUCCGUUAUACCCUUCCUGCUUACACAUGAGAAAUACCUGGAACUACGACCUGGAGCAAGUCUUUUACAAUAAACACAGGGAUUUACAAGUAUAUGUAGAACACCGAAUGGUACUUUCCACACAAACAACAUUUACGUCAUCUAUAGAAAUGAUACAGAGGAGAGACAAAAUAAAAGUUUCCCUAGAAUCCCGGCCUGAAGGCUGGUUAUGAUGAGAUACAGGGUGGAGACAUCACUGCUGCCCUAGAUGCUCUGAAAAAUGCAGGAAGGUGAUUGUUCCUUUAUCCGUAACCUUAUGGUUAUGUAAGAGGGGCCUUGACCAAAGGCUGACUGGGACAAACUGUCAGAAACCCGUGUGAGUAUGAAGCAGGAAUCACACACGUGUGUAUUGGAGGCUGGCAGCAAGAAAGAGCCAGAGAAGGGACCACUGUGACCGCUUUCAGAUAACAAAGAGACAUAUGCCACAGAGCGAAGAUGCCGUGUAAAAGGAUUCCCAGGGAACGAUUGCAUUUUGAGUUCCUUGAUCAACGCACGCUGAACACUGGGCCGGCUACACUUGUGUUAUUUUUAUCUCCGAGAACUAUACCGCAGAAUUCGGAUUUUAUUUCAUUGAGAAUGUAUUAUCUUUUAAAGGUAGAAAAAUUAAAUGGUGAGUUAGAUCUCACAUUCUCUCUUUCUAAAUAUCAAAGUUAUCUUUGUGAAUGUGUAGUGUAGAGAUAGAUAAGAGUGUGAGCCAGCUGCCUGGGGCACAACAAGGUGGGGGGCACAAUUAGGAGUUGUGGACAGUAGUUUACAACUGUUGGGUGGACAUGGGGGAAGGGAUUGUGAUGUAUGACGGCGGGGGAAGGAUGGCUGGAGGCCAGACCAUGGCCCACUGUUGAGGGUACCCAACUCCAAGAGCACUCAAGACACUUGGAACUUUGAAAGCUCCUACAUUUAUUGCCAUUUUAGCUUUGGAAGAAGCCCCUUGGUAUCUGGCUGCCUUCAGAAGGCUCUUGCAUGGGGUUACAAGAAAGCCUGCACCAUCUGAGUCCAGAGUUUCAUUUCAAAGUGUCUUCUCCAUCUCACUUUAUAUUGUAAACUUUUUUGGGCAGGGCCCUUUUUAAUAAUAAUAAUAAUAAAGUGAAGAAAUGAUUUAGAAUUCAGUCCAGUCAGACUGGACUGCCCAAAUAUUACAUGAUCUCCCUAUGGGCCUUUUCUUAUUUACACCAUUAGCAUUUAUAACCUAUAAACCAUUUGCACUCUCCAUCUGAUUGUUGUGAGAGCCGGCCCAGAAUGUCAGCUUCUCUGGUGGCCCUAAAGGUGGCCAUACACGCACCGAUAAUAUCGUACGAAACCUCGUUUC